AUGCGGAGGGUGCAAGCGUUAUUCGGAAUCACUGGGCGUAAAGGACGCGUAGGCGGGUUGGCAAGUCAGAUGUGAAAUCCUACAGCUUAACUGUAGAACUGCAUUUGAAACUGCUAACCUAGAGUAUGGGAGGGGGAGAUGGAAUUAGUGGUGUAGGGGUAAAAUCCGUAGAUAUCACUAGGAAUACCGAAAGCGAAGGCGAUCUCCUGGAACAUAACUGACGCUAAGGCGUGAAAGCGUGGGGAGCAAACAGGAUUAGAUACCCCUGUAGUCC
This 274-nucleotide ribosomal RNA is filed under the name uncultured bacterium. RNAcentral describes it as "partial 16S ribosomal RNA". It matches the Rfam family "Bacterial small subunit ribosomal RNA", at positions 523 to 796 of the family's 1533-position model. The record is from RNAcentral.